RNAcentral lists this ribosomal RNA (253 nucleotides) under uncultured bacterium. Its description in RNAcentral is "partial 16S ribosomal RNA". It matches the Rfam family "Bacterial small subunit ribosomal RNA", at positions 524 to 776 of the family's 1533-position model. The record is from RNAcentral.
UACAGAGGGUGCGAGCGUUAAUCGGAAUUACUGGGCGUAAAGCGUGCGUAGACGGUUAUUUAAGUCGGGUGUGAAAGCCCCGGGCUCAACCUGGGAAUUGCAUUCGAGACUGAAUAGCUAGGGUACGGUAGAGGGAAGUGGAAUUUCCGGUGUAGCGGUGAAAUGCGUAGAUAUCGGAAGGAACAUCAGUGGCGAAAGCGACACCCUGGCAUUAGCCUGACGCUCAUGUGCGAAGGCGUGGGGAGCGAACGGG